Molecule: long non-coding RNA, 783 nt
Organism: Diabrotica virgifera virgifera (western corn rootworm)
Lineage: Eukaryota; Metazoa; Arthropoda; Insecta; Coleoptera; Chrysomelidae
Exons: 3
Source: RefSeq, a predicted model, not a curated record
AGCCUAGUUUACAUUGGACAGGCAUGUUACUUUUUAACCGUUAACCAAAGGUAGGGUUAGGUAAUAACUAAAUAUACUAUUUAAUAACAAAUUUAGAUCAGAUCAACAGUUAAGUUUAUCUGAAAAAUUCUAUAACUACUCUGAUAUCAUGAAACAAUCUUAAAAGAUUGUACAUAUUUUUAUUAUAAAUUAUUCAAAAGGUAAAAGAAUUAUUAAUCAGAUCAGUACCAUGUACAAUUUUCUAAAACAGAAAAAUUCUUUUUUAAAAAUAUAGUGAAGAAUUUUAACUCAAAAGCGGAGUUUACUCUGAACAUGUUACUUUUUAAACGUUAACCAAAGAGUAUGUAAUAGUUAAACAAACUAUUUAAUAACUAAUUUAGGUCAGAUCAAGAAUUCAUGUUAUUUAUAACUACUCUAAUAUCACAAAACAGUCUUAAAAGAUUUUACAUAUUUUUAUAAUUCAAUAUUCAAAAGGUAAGAGAUUUAUUAAUCAUCACAGUACCAUGUAGAAUUUUAUAAAACAGAAAAAUUUCUUCAUCAAAAUAUAGUGAAGAAUUGUAACUCAAAAGUCUAGUUUAUUCUGGACAUGUUACUUUUUAACCGUUAACAAAAGAGCAGGUAAUAGCUAAAUAUAGGUACUAUUUAAUAACUGAUUUAGGUCAGAUCCAGUGUUAAAGUUAUCUACAACCACUGUAAUAUCACAAAACAGUCUAAAAGAUUGCACAUAUUUUUAUAAUAAAAUAUUCAAAAGGUGAGAGAUUUAUUAAUCAGAUCAGUACCACG